GCGGGGAUGCCGGAGUGGUCAAACGGGAUAGACUAAGGAUCUAUUGACUUAGUGUCUACGCAGGUUCGAGCCCUGCUCCCCGCA
RNAcentral lists this transfer RNA (84 nucleotides) under Candidatus Woesearchaeota archaeon. RNAcentral describes it as "tRNA-Leu". It matches the Rfam family "tRNA". From Rfam's summary of the family: Transfer RNA (tRNA) molecules are approximately 80 nucleotides in length. The record is from RNAcentral. Lineage: Archaea; Nanobdellati; Candidatus Woesearchaeota.